Long non-coding RNA from Vespa mandarinia (Asian giant hornet), 2056 nucleotides. The record is from RefSeq and is a predicted model, not a curated record. NCBI's taxonomy places the organism in Eukaryota, Metazoa, Arthropoda, Insecta, Hymenoptera, Vespidae.
AUUAUUGUGACUGUACUCGAAUUAUUGUGUUACUUAUUAGACAAAAAGAAGAAAAAAAAAAGGUUCUAUUAUUAAUUAAGACAUAUAUUAAAAAUAUUCUCGUAGAUUGAAUUAAUAUCGAUACUCAUCAUCAUUUGAAAAACUAUCAUAUAACCAUCAAUGACGUUAUUCGAAAGAUUUAUUUCUAACGUAAUGAUAACCAUUGGAUGGAAAUUUGAAGGAAGCUUUUUAGGUCGUAUCAUCUUUAAUCCCCGAGAUCUUUCUGUGCCACCCCUAAAUAAAGAGAGAGAGAGAGUGAGAGAGAGAGAGAAUAAGAGAGAGAGAGAGAGAGAAAAGGCUUCGCAACAGCUGCAUGCUGAACCCUUUGCCCUAUUGGAAAGAAUUGAAUAAAGUUUAUAAGGAAGGUAAAAACAUCACCACCACGUACACCCCAGUUCUGAGAUGGCGUAUAAGCGGGGAAAAAGAAGUACGCAGCGAUCAAGAACGAGAGAGAAAGAGACAGAGAGACAGACAGAGAGAAAGAGAGAGAAAAUGCAUGGGUUCCUACGCCGUGAGAACAUUGGAGCGAUAUGAGGAGGAAAGGGAGAGAAUAAACUUUUCGGAAGAUGACGGAAUGGAAAGUUUACGAUUUUUCUUCAUUAAAAGCAGGAUCCAAAAUAAACGUAAUACUUUUUUCUUGAUGGCAGCCUAUGUAGACGGCAACACGACGAACCAUUUUAGUUUUGAUUUGUGCAAUAUCCCAUAUAUCCCAUGGUCUAAAAGGAAUUGUACCGGUUGGCCACGUUCAAGAGAGUGGGGUUACGAAUCGACUCAAAUUUCGGACAGUAUAAAACGCGUCGUCUCCUUUCAUUCUGAGCUGAACAAAGGAACGAUAGAUACCCUCCCUACCAUACGAUAGAAAGAGAGAAAGACAGAGAGAGAGAGAGAGAAAGAGACAGAGAGAGAAAGAGAGACCCUACCACCUUUCAUCAAAACGAAUUGACGACCGCGUGAGAGAGGACUUCAGCUUAAAAAGGGGAAGUAUACAUGAGUAUUCUUCGAAUUUUUUUGUGGUUACCCAAUGAAAAGAAAUCUACGAAACAAUUUGCCGGGGUUCCUGUAAAAGUUCUGCUGGAGUCGUCAACUACUACUACUACUACUACUACUACUACUACACUACUACACUACUGCUACUACACUACUACUACUCUACCACACUACUCUACUACUACUACUACUACACAACGACGCAACGAACGACGUGGACUAUGGAACACACCGCCGACAGAGCCCUCCAAUUUUGUAGGUUCGCGCGUUCUUGUCGACAGAAAAUGUGCAUCGAGCACCCCACCAAAGUGUUUCCUGAACAACGAUGUCUCCAAGAAGAAGACGUAGUAGUAAAGUAAAGUAGACGGUAGUGGCGGCAGUGGCAGUGGCGGCACGACAACAGCACGUAUUCUUCGAUUCUCUGAUAAUUCUUGCCAGAAGAGAUAUAAACUGCUAGAGAAAUCCUGACUUGAAGAAGAUGACGAUGAUGACGACGACGAUGAUGAUGAUGAUGAUGAUGAUGAUGAUGAUGAUGAUGAAGUUGAAGUUGAUAAUGAUGAUUACUAUGGCGAUGGGAUGAAGAUUAUGAUGAAGAAGAAGUGAGGAUGCAAACGACGCUUCGCGUAGGACGUUCUCGAGCAAACUGCUGCUCGUGGCCAGGUGUUCCGCCUCUUUAUUCCUUUUGGCUGCCAUAACAACACGGUUGCUUUCAAGGACUAUUCAUCCGGUCGUUUCUUUCCUUCACCUGGGACAGCUGGAACUUAGGACGACCACGUGCUUCUCUCUCGGCUUCAACGAGCAAUCCCAGCAUAGCAGGUUGCAACGGUUUAUCGUAGGCAUUAAUCGUAUUGUCGAUUAAAGAGGAAUCAACAUAAAUUCAUUCAUAAUAUUUUAAUAUACUCUUAUAGACGGAUACACAUUUUAUUACACCAAUGAUUUAUUAACUAUCUAUUACAAGAUAAAUCCUAAUCAUUGAAAGAAUUAAUUAGAAAUAUAUGAUAUUUUUCAGAUUAUUGCAUCUUACAGUAUC